UACAUUAGGUAGUACAGACAAUAGAAGAUAAAUAAUAACUCGAGGAUCACAAAUCACAAGAUGGUGCAAUUGCAGAGCACAAAAUAAGACUCCAAAAAAGUGCAAAAACCAAACCGUCGAACGUUCCUCGAUCUUGAGAUUGUGAACAACAUGAAACAACACAAUGGGAGAAGAGGAACCAUCUGUCAUAUGCGCGGUCGUCAACCCGUGACGGCGUUCAGGCGCCGGUAAAUCCGUUCUCGCUUCUCCGCCGUGCUGCCACGCGCAGCCCGGUCGGUGUCUUCGCCGCCUCGGCACGGCCGCCGUCCGGUUCGGCGCGCGUUUCAGCCGUCCUGUCUCCGAGGCAUCUGGGCGCCUCCGGCCUCCUGUCGCUCGCCCUGCUGUCCCUCGCGGUCGCGGGCGCAUCGGCUGCUCGGAGCAGCGCGCGUGGGCGCUUCGGCUACUACCCGCCGCUCCUUCCGCGAAGCGUCCGCUGCCCGAUGCGCGUCGAAUCAAAUCGGCCGCUCCUGCAAGUGGCUUAGGCACUCCACACUCCCUUCCUGAGGUACAUAUAUUGAUGGAAUGAACAGAAAGUGGAAGGGAAUGGUGAAAUUUUCCAGAAUUCAAAACUGAAUGCUCCGAAGACUAGAAAAUAUCAAUAUAGAAGAUCAAAUAUUCACAUGGAUACCUAUCUUAUAUUGAAUACUGGCACAGUGGAAGCCUUGAACCGAUAGGCCUCUCCACCAGUAAGUGCUCUCCUGUGAGAAUUAUUCAGGGUUCUGAUCUGUUACUCUAUUUUUUCACCUCCUCAUGUUCACAUUCAUCUUGUGAUCAAGUAGUGACAUGAGGAAUGGAUUAAGGAUAUAUAUACUGCUAUGCUGAAUGCGUGAAAUCAACAUUUGGACGGAGUAAAACAAGGGGAUAUGAAAGAAGGGAUUAACAUAAAACCAUGUACCUGUGGAUAUGAAGGUCUCACUGAUGUUUGUUUCGAAGUAAUAUGUAUCCUUGGUGUACAAGAUAUAACCUUCAUAGUUAUCUGAUGGUAGUGUCCACCCAUAUGCCUUUAGCUGCUGGACAUGACGGAUUUUUCCCCACUCAGAGUUGGCAUCUUGUAAGGAUAUCAGCUUGAGCAAGCUUAGGCUACAAUGUAAACCUCUGGCAACACGAGCUUUAUAUUUCUCAUAUAAUCGUCCUUGAAUUUGUUGAAAACCUUUGGCAACAUGAGCUUUAUAUUUCUUAAUAGAACCAUCUGACUUGUCUUAA
Long non-coding RNA from Setaria italica (foxtail millet), 1242 nucleotides. RefSeq lists it as uncharacterized. The record is from RefSeq and is a predicted model, not a curated record. Lineage: Eukaryota; Viridiplantae; Streptophyta; Magnoliopsida; Poales; Poaceae. The transcript has 2 exons.